RNAcentral lists this long non-coding RNA (257 nucleotides) under Homo sapiens (human). RNAcentral's name for it is "non-protein coding LINC01983:5". Lineage: Eukaryota; Metazoa; Chordata; Mammalia; Primates; Hominidae. The record is from RNAcentral.
UUUUGCUUCUUCCCUGCAGACCAAGUUGGAGGUGCGUCCUCCUUUUGCCAGACCUCCUCUUGUGCCUCUUGCUGUAUGCAGAGCGUCGUGAUGACAGCUCGUCAAGCUUUCCAAUUUGAGUCUUCAGCUAUCCAGAAGCUGUGAAGGGGCAGCCCCGUCACCAGACACAAUCCUUGCAAAGGGACAGCCUCCAUCAGCCUCCAUGGAAGACUGACAGACCCACACAGGGGAGAAUAAAUCAACCUGCAAAUGAAGCA